UACGAAGGGGGCGAGCGUUGUUCGGAUUUACUGGGCGUAAAGGGCGCGCAGGCGGCGCAUUUUGUCAGGCGUGAAAGCCCCGGGCUUAACCUGGGAACUGCGUUUGAUACGGAUGGGCUAGAGUUCGGGAGAGGAGAGUGGAAUUCCCAGUGUAGAGGUGAAAUUCGUAGAUAUUGGGAAGAACACCGGUGGCGAAGGCGGCUCUCUGGACCAGCACUGACACUGAGGCACGAAAGCGUGGGGAGCAAACAGG
This 253-nucleotide ribosomal RNA is filed under the name uncultured bacterium. RNAcentral's name for it is "partial 16S ribosomal RNA". It matches the Rfam family "Bacterial small subunit ribosomal RNA", at positions 524 to 776 of the family's 1533-position model. The record is from RNAcentral.